Molecule: small RNA, 97 nt
Filed under: Flavobacterium gillisiae
Lineage: Bacteria; Pseudomonadati; Bacteroidota; Flavobacteriia; Flavobacteriales; Flavobacteriaceae
Description: Flavo-1 RNA
Rfam family: Flavo-1 RNA
Source: RNAcentral
UUUUAUCCCAGAUAGAAGCGGUAUCUCCCGAAUUAGAAAAACAAGGCAUUGGCCGUAGUUUUUGUUAUCGGGAAUAUAGCGGAUAGCUGGAUAAGGC